Molecule: long non-coding RNA, 501 nt
Filed under: Trifolium pratense (red clover)
Lineage: Eukaryota; Viridiplantae; Streptophyta; Magnoliopsida; Fabales; Fabaceae
Description: long non-coding RNA (TPRA_LNC002747)
Source: RNAcentral
UAAGUUAUAAAUUACAAAGUGAUAAGAAUAUUUUUUACAUACAAAGAACAAUAAUGAAUGGAAUUGUCAAGUUUGUUUAUGUCAUUAUCAUCUUUAUUUCUUUAUUUUUUGUUGCGAGGAGUGCUGAGAUCUACGUCCCCGACGGUAAGUAAUUUUAUCCUAUUCAAAAAAAUUGUUUUGCUUCAUUCUCGAUAUAUAUUUUUCUUCCAAUUUAGUUACACUAACUUAUUCUUCUUUGUUUUUUUCUUUUCAUUAUAGAGAUUAUUAAUUGUAAGAGUUUCUUGGAUUGUCCAUAUGAUAUGUGCCGACGUUAUUUUGAACCAAAGUGUAAGAAGAGCAUUUGUAAAUGUUUUCGAUGGAUGGAUGACCCUUUGUAAAAGUUCUAGACCAAGAAAGUACUAAUGUCAAUCUACAAUAUUCAAUUAGUUGCAAUUUUGUUGGAACUCAAUAAAUUUGGUGGGAUCAUGUUCCUACUAGUGUGUUAGAAGCAUAUAUAGCAAU